RNAcentral lists this ribosomal RNA (236 nucleotides) under uncultured Candidatus Saccharibacteria bacterium. RNAcentral's name for it is "partial 16S ribosomal RNA". It matches the Rfam family "Bacterial small subunit ribosomal RNA", at positions 583 to 818 of the family's 1533-position model. The record is from RNAcentral. Lineage: Bacteria; Candidatus Saccharimonadota.
UUAGGCGGGAUGUGAAAUCCAAGGGCUCAACCCUUGAACUGCAUUUCGAACUGGCAGACUUGAGAGUGGGAGAGGAAGCUGGAAUUCCUAGUGUAGGAGUGAAAUCCGUAGAUAUUAGGAGGAACACCAAUGGCGAAGGCAGGCUUCUGGCCCAUUUCUGACGCUGAGGCACGAAAGCGUGGGGAGCGAACGGGAUUAGAUACCCCGGUAGUCCACGCCGUAAACUAUGGAUGCUA